UGGGAGUAUGUGGUUUAAUUCGAUGCAACGCGAAGAACCUUACCUAGGUUUGACAUCCGGAGACCUUCCCGAAAAGGAAGGGUGCCCUUCGGGGAAUUCCGAGACAGGUGCUGCAUGGCUGUCGUCAGCUCGUGCCGUGAGGUGUGGGUUAAGUCCCGCAACGAGCGCAACCCUAUUGCCAGUUGCUACCAGGUAAUGCUGGGCACUCUGGUGAGACUGCCCCGGUUAACGGGGAGGAAGGUGGGGACGACGUCAAGUCAUCAUGGCCCUUACGCCUAGGGCUACACACGUACUACAAUGGCGCAUACAAAGGGCAGCGAUACCGCGAGGUGGAGCCAAUCCCAAAAAGUGCGUCCCAGUCCGGAUUGCAGUCUGCAACUCGACUGCAUGAAGUUGGAAUCGCUAGUAAUUCGAGAUCAGCAUGCUCGGGUGAAUGCGUUCCCGGGCCUU
This 450-nucleotide ribosomal RNA is filed under the name uncultured Desulfovibrio sp. RNAcentral's name for it is "bacterial SSU rRNA". It matches the Rfam family "Bacterial small subunit ribosomal RNA", at positions 933 to 1382 of the family's 1533-position model. The record is from RNAcentral. Lineage: Bacteria; Pseudomonadati; Thermodesulfobacteriota; Desulfovibrionia; Desulfovibrionales; Desulfovibrionaceae.